RNAcentral lists this non-coding RNA (29 nucleotides) under Homo sapiens (human). The record is from RNAcentral. Lineage: Eukaryota; Metazoa; Chordata; Mammalia; Primates; Hominidae.
GCAGCAACUGCUGUGUGCCAUGCUUUUGC